CAGCUCGUGUCGUGAGAUGUGGGUUAAGUCCCGCAACGAGCGCAACCCUGCAUUCAGUUGCCAACGGUAAGGCCGGGCACUCUGGAUGGGACUGCCGGCGACAAGCCGGAGGAAGGUGGGAUGACAUCAAGUCAUCAUGGCCCUUAUGUCCAGGGCGACACACGUGCUACAAUGGCCGGCACAGCGGGAAGCGAGGGGGCGACCUUGAGCGGAUCCCUCAAAGCCGGUCUCAGUUCGGAUUGCAGUCUGCAACUCGACUGCAUGAAGUUGGAAUCGCUAGUAAUCGUGGAUCAGGAUGUCACGGUGAAUACCGGUUCCCGGGUCUU
Molecule: ribosomal RNA, 326 nt
Filed under: uncultured Thermovirga sp.
Lineage: Bacteria; Thermotogati; Synergistota; Synergistia; Synergistales; Thermovirgaceae
Description: bacterial SSU rRNA
Rfam family: Bacterial small subunit ribosomal RNA
Source: RNAcentral